Molecule: long non-coding RNA, 1602 nt
Organism: Cicer arietinum (chickpea)
Lineage: Eukaryota; Viridiplantae; Streptophyta; Magnoliopsida; Fabales; Fabaceae
Source: RefSeq, a predicted model, not a curated record
AGAAUAAUACAACAAUUAUAAAUAAUAUUUCAUUAUAUGGAAUCAUGAGCCCUAGAUUUUUUAUCUAGGCAAAAGGGAUUAACCACCCAUCUUGGCGACAAGCCCUAACUUGCUCCUCUGUGAGUAACCCUAUCAGCAUUGGAAACCCAACCAACGACACAAUAGAUGGAAGCCUUAGUUGCAGCGGCAACCAUGGUGAUGGAACCAGACCAAUCGGUAGAGCCGAUGAUGGCACGAGCCGCGUUGGCAUUCCAGGAAGGGGUACUGGAUGCGGUUGCAACUCUAGUGAUAGAACCAGACCAAGCAGCAGCGUUAGUGGUGGCAGUCUAGGAAAAGGUCCUCUCGCGGUGCCAACUUUGAUGAUGGAAUCAGCCUUGGCAGCAACUCAAGCAACAACGACGACAACCAUGGGUUCCUUUCAAACUGAAGGCAGCUUUGAAGAGUUUUACAACAAUGGCUAUUACGGAGGCUAUGGCAACAGAUACGGAGGUGAUGGCGGUUUUGGUAUGGGAGGAAACAACCAAGGUAAUUCCUUACAAGUCAAUGUGCAUAAAUAGAUCCAACUUACAAGUUCUGGAAAUCGGAAAACUCGUUAAUCAUUGCUUGGCUAGUUAGUUCGAUGGAGACAUGAAUUGGGAGACCAUUCAUGUUUAUACCUACAGCAAAACAAGUAUUGGAAGAUGUGAAGGAUACUUACUAUGAUAUUCAGAAUUCAUCUCAAAUUUAUGGUCUAAAAUCAAAAUUGUGGAGCCUGAAGCAAGGUGAAAGGAUGGUAACAAUCUACUACAAUAAGUUGAUGACCUUAUGGCAAGAACUAGAUUUGUGCUAUGAAGAUAAUUGGAAGUGUAUGGAAGAUAGUGUUCAGUUCAUUAAGAGGCAAGAAAACGAUCGUGUUUUUAUGUUUCUUGCAAGUCUAAACAAAGAACUUGAUGAAGUUAGAGACAGACUCCUUGGAAAAGCCCUUUAACAUCUCUACGAGAAUAUUUUUCAAAAGUCAAAAGAGAAGAGGCAAGACAAUAAGUGAUGACAGGAAAUUCAAUCACAGAUGGGUCAACACUAAUCACCAGAAAUUUCAAUGAGGAAGGCAAGAAAGAUAGUAAGAAAUCAGAGAAGCCAUGGUGUGACCAUUGCAAAUGCAUGUGGCACACGCGCAAGACUUGUUGAAAGCUACAUGGGAAGCCUCCUUAUUCAAAGAAGAAUGGAGAAGGUCGUGCAUUUCAAGCUACUUUUGAUAAGAGUUACGGUCUAGUGGGUAGAUCAACUUUAAAAACUUAUUGAAUCUCAAACCCCUUCUAGCUGCAUGGCUCAAAAAGGAUUUGAUCUCGGGAAAGAUGAUUGGCAAUUCUAAGCAAAGUGGUGGACUCUACUAUCUUGGAGAUGGACCUAAAAACAAACACCAGUCAGGACCAGUUGGUUUUUUGGUUGAAUCUUUUUUUGUUUCAAAUAAUAAGGAUUAUAUUUUGUUGUGGCAUUUGAGGUUAGGCCACCCUAGUUUUAAAUAUUUAAAGUCUAUAUUUCCAAAACUUUUUGUUAAUCAAGAUAUUUCCACAUUUCAAUGUGAAAUUUACGAGUUUGCUAAACAUCACCGAAAUUCUUUUCCAA